CACGUAGGGCGCAAGCGUUGUCCGGAAUUAUUGGGCGUAAAGAGCUCGUAGGCGGUCUGUUGCGUCCGCUGUGAAAACCCGGGGCUUAACCCCUGGCUUGCAGUGGAUACGGGCAGACUAGAGGUAGGUAGGGGAGAAUGGAAUUCCCGGUGUAGCGGUGAAAUGCGCAGAUAUCGGGAGGAACACCGGUGGCGAAGGCGGUUCUCUGGGCCUUACCUGACGCUGAGGAGCGAAAGCGUGGGGAGCGAACAGG
RNAcentral lists this ribosomal RNA (253 nucleotides) under uncultured bacterium. RNAcentral describes it as "partial 16S ribosomal RNA". It matches the Rfam family "Bacterial small subunit ribosomal RNA", at positions 524 to 776 of the family's 1533-position model. The record is from RNAcentral.